Molecule: long non-coding RNA, 212 nt
Organism: Macrobrachium nipponense
Lineage: Eukaryota; Metazoa; Arthropoda; Malacostraca; Decapoda; Palaemonidae
Exons: 2
Source: RefSeq, a predicted model, not a curated record
CCAACACAAACUCUCACCAGUUCAGUGCGUAGAAAGAUCAGUAUUAAAAAAAAAAGAAAAAGAAGGUGUACAAUAGCUGCUCUGCUGGAGCAUACUAGUCGCCGUGGGAUGUGUCAACUUUAAAUGCCAUUUUCUCAAAAAUUUUGCAUUCAGCAGAUGGGAGAAGAGUCCAGGUAUCAAGAUUGCCCUAAAAUAAAAUUUUCAAUUAGUUA